UGCAGACUGAAGCACAACGCUGAUGAAAAUUUGGACGGACGUGGUCACUGAUGAAACAUCUGCUGAAGAGAAUCAAACAGCUGGCAUCUGAAAGAAGAGGAGACAACAACAUGGUGUGGCAGCCAUGAGUGAGCCAGCCCUGCAAACCCUGUGGAUGGACGAUGCAGUGGACAGUGGGAGGAAGCAUCCUGAAGCUCUCUUUGCAGACCACCCUGUGUGAUUCUCCACUCGCCGACCAGAAAAGACAAACCGCAGGUCUCAGUUGCAGCAGCCCAUCCAUCCAUGUCUGAUCGUGCUCGGGCAGCUUCAGCAACACUGCCAGAGACUUCCUGUAAUCUAUUACAGUUGUUAAAGAAACGGUCCAGGAACAGGUCACUCAGGUUAAUCCUGUGUGAACAACUGUAAAUGUUGUUUUUCAUCUUUACAUACUGUGUAUUUGAAAUAUUCUUGUUUAAUUGUUAUUGUUAUUUACUUUAUUGCUAUCAAAUAAAUAUCCAAGUAAUAUUGUUCAAAGUUAGCGUUAUGUUCAUACGUGUUACAAAUGCCUGUAAAUCAAAUUGAGUUCAGUGACAAUUACUGUUUGUUUGAAUCAAUUUAUUAAUAACAUAAAACCUUUAAACUAAUGCAACACAUAUAACAAUGUAACAAAUAUAUUCAAAUAAAUAAAUUUCUCAAUACAUAACUCAUUUGGGAACUAAUCUUUCUAGAAGUGAAAACAGUCUGUCCGUCCUCUCCCUGCUCUCCUCUCCUCAGCCUCCCUUUGCUGCCUCAUGUCCUCUCUGAUGAGGUCUAGCAGCUCAUCAUCCCCGUCUCUUUUCCUCUUUCUCCCUGUCGUAGGUGGCUGAGCCGCUUUGUCAUCGCUGUCGUUUUGGUCACCCACUGCUGUGCUUGGCCCUGGAGUGUCCUCAGGGAGAGAGGAAAUUAGGACAGGAGGCUUAAUGGAAGGCAUCUGUCCUAUCACCUCAUCCAUGAGGGCAAACCAGGGCCAAGUAGCAGCAGUGGGC
Oreochromis aureus is the source of this 1004-nucleotide long non-coding RNA. The record is from Ensembl. Lineage: Eukaryota; Metazoa; Chordata; Actinopteri; Cichliformes; Cichlidae.